CUUAAAUUCCUACAAAUGUGGGGAUUUCUGAGUUGAGAAACAGAAAGAAGUCCUCACCUAAGCAUGGCCAAUAGUGAGUUUUAGAUUUCUGGCAUGUCUCAAACGGGGUUGUGGGUCAAUCUAGAAAGGCUGUGUGCAAAUCUAGAAAAAUGAUGUCAAGGUAUUUAAUGAGGAAGAUGCUCCUCACCUGAUAGGAGUUGGACUGUAUACUACUUUACUUCUUUUCCUUUUCUUUCUUUUUUUUUUGUAAAGAAGUACUCGAUCUCUUUAUUGUAUAAGGAAUAACAAUCAGGUGGCUUAGGAAAUAAAUCUAUGGGAUAUUGGGCUGAAGGAGGAAAUUAGGAAAACAUGAUCACGGACCCUAACGUCGCUUCUCCUCUAACAACUGUGAUUUCUUUAUGGAAAACUAGAGAUUUUGCAGAGAGAUUUGCCAAGCGAGGUCCGGAAGCAAAUCCAGCCCUGGACAUGGUGACAAGACACCACCAAGGGCUCCUGAUAUUUGCCCUUCAUCCAGUGUGUGAAAGAAUCCUUUCUGAGAUCGCUAGAUUUUAGUCACUGCAGAUCAACCUAACUACGUAGUCCCUGUGAGGCCAUCACUAGGCAUAGCGACUGAUGAGAAUGGAUGUCCCGCUUGCCAUCUGAGCCCCCAAGUUAACUGAUGGUGUGGACAGUUGCGAUGGUGCUGCUUGGGAUCGAACUCGGGACCUUGCACUUUUGAGGCAGGUGGUGGCACCACUGAGUGAUGUUCCUGCCUUGGACCCAUGGAUUCACUCCAUCUUUGUCAUUCUAUCUCUGGUGGACAUUGAACUUUAUAAAAUGUGAUAAAAAGUACUUUUAGUCUUGGAAGGAGCAAACUGGACUGUCUGAAAAACAACUUUUUAAGUGAAAACGGGAACUUUUGGUGGAGAUCCACUGUUUCCAAAACCUUGAAGGAACAAAGGUUGCCACUCGCCAGCACCUGGGGAGUCAAUAUGCGUCUAUCAGCUCUUGACUUUGGGCCCAGUGCACCUUCUUGAUCCUGAUUACUGCAGACACCUUCUGAUUCAUCUUCCACAAACCGAGUAUUCGCAGCCCAACUGUUCAGAUGAACCUUAAAUUUCGCCAUGGAUUGGAUCCCCUGUGAACAUGAACCAAAGUAAGCCUGUCUUUGUCAUCCCAGCCACAGAAAGGUGACCAAUACAAAGAAAGAGAAGCAAAGGAAAUUAACCACGAAUGGGUAGAAAGUCUAGCAGUGACCACCCACUGCAAAGAUAAGUAUCAUCCUGCAAAAGGCUCAGAGUUGUUUCAACCUGAGAAGGAGGUUUGGACAUCCCUCACCUGUCAUCCAGAGCCCAAGGGAAGGAACAUACAAAGGCUUGGUCACCUCUGCCUCACCGUGCUUACAUCAGAGAGCUGACAGCAUCCUUCUGCAGAAGCAUAACACAUGUAAGCUACCAAAGAUGAAGACAGACCGAGGCCAGAGUGAGGGUCCAGAAAUGGUUUAAAAAGGCUCCAGGUAUAAUACUGACAUUUUCUUCUAGUAAAGGGAUUGAACUCGGGACCUUGUGCUUGCAAGGCAGGAGGCAGAACAAUUGAGAUAAAUCCCCCGCAGCAUCUUCUUUUUUUUCUUCUUUUGGCCAUGGGACUCCCUCUGCAAUCGACAAGCUGUGUGCUUGGAAAAGAUUUAGAACAAAGACGGUUUUGACUUGUGAGCUUUGCCCACACACAGAGCACAAAAACUGGAAGCUUACACAUUAUCUCUCAUUGGCUGGCUUCAGAGGACAUGAGAUGGUUAAAAAUACUUAAAAAGGAAAUGAAGAAAUCAUGGCAUUUUGUUCACGGUUGUGUGGUUUCCCCGUUGGCUUGGGGAAAGGAGGACAAACAAGUAUUUUCCAGCUAACCCCAGCCACGGCCAGCAAUCUGGUGUUCACCGAAAGAGCAGA
Molecule: long non-coding RNA, 1922 nt
Filed under: Heterocephalus glaber (naked mole-rat)
Lineage: Eukaryota; Metazoa; Chordata; Mammalia; Rodentia; Bathyergidae
Description: lncRNA (ENSHGLG00100036285.1)
Source: RNAcentral